RNAcentral lists this ribosomal RNA (495 nucleotides) under uncultured bacterium. RNAcentral describes it as "partial 16S ribosomal RNA". It matches the Rfam family "Bacterial small subunit ribosomal RNA", at positions 28 to 507 of the family's 1533-position model. The record is from RNAcentral.
GACGAACGCUGGCGGCGUGCCUAAUACAUGCAAUUAGAACGCUGAAGGAGGAGCUUGCUCUUCUGGAUGAGUUGCGAACGGGUGAGUAACGCGUAGGUAACCUGCCUGGUAGCGGGGGAUAACUAUUGGAAACGAUAGCUAAUACCGCAUAAGAGUAGAUGUUGCAUGACAUUUGCUUCAAAGGUGCAAUUGCCUCACUACUAGACGGACCUGCGUUGUAUUAGCUAGUUGGUGGGGUAAAGGCUCAGCAAGGCGACUGCACAUAACCGACGACGGAUGAUGAUCGGCGUCACUGAGAUUGAGACACGGCCCAGACUCCUACGGGGGGCAGCAGUAGGGAAUCUUCGGCAAUGGACGGAAGUCUGACCGAGCAACGACGCGUCAGUGAAGAAGGUUUUCGGAUCGUAAAGCUCCGUUGUAAGAGAAGAACGAGUGUGAGAGUGGAAAGUUCACACUGUGACGGUAUCUAACGAGAAAGGGACGGCUAACUACGUG